Cygnus olor (mute swan) is the source of this 703-nucleotide long non-coding RNA. RefSeq lists it as uncharacterized. NCBI's taxonomy places the organism in Eukaryota, Metazoa, Chordata, Aves, Anseriformes, Anatidae. The transcript is spliced from 4 exons. The record is from RefSeq and is a predicted model, not a curated record.
CUGCAGGCCCUUUGGUGAGGACUCUGUCAAAUGACCGACUGUUGGUGUUUAUGCUGAUAAGGAGACAGGCACUUAGCUGCUUCACACCCUGGAUUUAAAUAUGCAUCACUAUCACAUUAACUGGGGACCUCAUUGGCAACCUUGCUGAGAUGUGCUUGAGGGCUUCUACCAGGAGUGCCAGAGAUCCAUCUUGUUCUGCAUUAGCCAGGAGGUGCCCUUGAGAAGUGCUUUACAUUGUCUUCAUUGAGUUCGACAGUGAAAAAAAGCUCCGAAGGGACCAUGCAUGAAGCAGUAUAGAGGUUUGACAUCUCACUGAGUAUCUGGAGCACAAAGGGAAAAUGACAGAAUUGCAUACUACAAAAAGAAAAACAAAACAAAACUGUACAUGCAAAACUUUCAGCAUUAUUUUGCAGGCAUACAUCAGGUUGUUUUGACAAAGAUUAAGAAAAGUGGGGGAAAUUUGGGGCACACAGCUAAACCAAACUGAAGCUCUCUCGUGGCAGCUGAGUAUCGCUUUUCUAGGCUACAGAUGACACCUUUUUCAGGUAUGGAGAAGACACUGUUGUACUGUUACAAAUGGGAAAUAAUUCUAAUCUGUGGCGCUCAGAUCUGAAAUCAAAUUUGCCCAGAAUCCAACCCUCUUUCAGUUUAACCCUGAAUGCCUGGAUCCUCUGCAGCACAAUGGUCAAAAAGACAUUCAAGA